Molecule: transfer RNA, 76 nt
Filed under: Acholeplasmataceae bacterium
Lineage: Bacteria; Bacillati; Mycoplasmatota; Mollicutes; Acholeplasmatales; Acholeplasmataceae
Also listed under: 1 other name
Description: tRNA-Glu
Rfam family: tRNA
About the family: Transfer RNA (tRNA) molecules are approximately 80 nucleotides in length. Their secondary structure includes four short double-helical elements and three loops (D, anti-codon, and T loops). Further hydrogen bonds mediate the characteristic L-shaped molecular structure. tRNAs have two regions of fundamental functional importance: the anti-codon, which is responsible for specific mRNA codon recognition, and the 3' end, to which the tRNAs corresponding amino acid is attached (by aminoacyl-tRNA synthetases). tRNAs cope with the degeneracy of the genetic code in two manners: having more than one tRNA (with a specific anti-codon) for a particular amino acid; and 'wobble' base-pairing, i.e. permitting non-standard base-pairing at the 3rd anti-codon position.
Source: RNAcentral
GGCCCGUUGGAGAAACGGUUAACUCAUCGCCCUCUCAAGGCGACACCCACGGGUUCGAACCCCGUACGGGCUACCA